Molecule: long non-coding RNA, 1769 nt
Organism: Prionailurus viverrinus (fishing cat)
Lineage: Eukaryota; Metazoa; Chordata; Mammalia; Carnivora; Felidae
Exons: 4
Source: RefSeq, a predicted model, not a curated record
GCGCGCCGGCGCCCCCUCCCCGCCACGUGACCAGCGGCUCAGCACGACCCGCGAUUUGCACCCCCGCUACGCGGCGCGGAUGGAGCCGCAGCGCUCCUCUGCGGAGCUCGCCCCUCAGGUCCUCAGUCCAAGGAGCUCGCGGUGACUUACACGCGUGCGGGACGCCGGCGCCGGCCUACCCCUCAGUCUCUGGCAGAGAAAAGGGAAAAGCCGCGAAGGACGGAUGGGGCGUACCCCCGGGGGCCUGACUCAGAGCCUGCCCUGUGGUAUUUGGUGGAUGGUGGUGGUUAAACACAGGAACCGGGAAGGAAGAGCGGCUCAGAGGGUGGAGACCCCCGUCUCUAGGGGGAAGAGGCUGAUAGACUGGAUGAUGCAUGAGUAAUCUGCUGUUGGCAAGCUUGUUAAGUGAGCAAAACUUCUGAAGAUUUUAAGGUGUGACCACAUCAUGCAUGAAACAGCCCAGACGUGCUUCAACCAUAACAUGGGAGUACAUGAUUCAGACUAUGUCGGCAACAUAGCUCACUUACGGAAUCCAGUGGAAUGAGAGACAGAUGGACUCCAAGAGUCAUUGGGGAGAACUCUUCAUCACUGCAGCCAUGCACCUAAACCUAAACAGGUUUUUCUGCCAAGAAUCUAGGGAAAUCCCAUCCCAUCUCCCCAAAUUUAUAGAUAACAUCACUAAGGUUUUUUUUACCUGACAAGUACUAUAAAGCUGAGAUUGUGCUUACUUGGGUAGCACAUAUACUAAAGAAAAGCUGAGGUUUUUUUUUUUUUAACGUUUAUUUAUUUUGAGAGAGAGAGAGAGUGGGGAAGGUCCAGAGAAAGAGAGAGAAUCCCAAGCAGGCUCUGCCAUCAGUGCAGAGCCUGACAUGGGUCUCAGUCCCAUGAACCGUGAAGUCAUGACCUGAGCCUGAAAACAAGAGUUGGACACUUAACCAACUGAGCCACCUAGGCACCCCUAUUAGCUGAGAUUUAAACCUAGGUCUAUUUAACUUAGCCUGUGUUAAAUACUAGGCUAUUUUCAUUUUAUUUUGUUCAAAAUCCUGAGGUCAUAGAGAAGAAUAGAAGGGUAGUGAUGAGGUGGAUAAUAGGAGGCAGAAAACGCAGGGUUGUUUUAAAGUCUUAACCCUGAGCCUUCUAUCUUUUGUACACUGUUUCUUCAUAGAAGACACUUUCUCCUACCUAGUAAGUUGUGUACAGGACAACAUGGAAAUAAAGGAGAGGCAGAUAGACCAACAAGGGAGUAAUUUUAGUAAUUCUAUUAUAUAAUUCAAACCUCCUUGUAAUGCAAUUUAGCUUCCCCACUGAUUGUGAAUUAAUCAGGUUUCAUAAUUAUAUUUAUAAUCAGGUUCUUUCUACGUAAUUAUUGUUUGUACUUGAGCAAAUUGCUUAGGAAGGCCACCUCCAAAUCCAAAUUAAAUGUUUCAUUUCCUAUUUCCUUUAUGGGGGCACAUGAUUAUUUUGGGAAAAGCAUUGGCUUGACAAUUAAAUUCCAUGUCUUGCUGUAUCUCCUAGGGAAGACCUAGAUCUCUUUUAAUUAUUUUUUAACAUUACAUAUUCACAAGUCUUACCAACCCAUGGGUGGGAAGGAAGGGCUCUUAGUGGAUCCCUGAAGUAUUACAGACCUCAGGCAAACUUGUAUGCAGUCUUUGUAUUUUAAAAAUUCAGGUAUUCCAGGAAGCCUGGGUGGCUUAGUUGAGCAUCAGACUCUUGAUUUUGGCUCAGGUCUUGAUCCCAGCAUCGUGGGAGCAAGCCCCACAUCAGGCUCC